AAGAAAUUAGUUAAAAAUAACAUUAAAAUGUCAAUUUAAAAUUACCCCAAAGGUAUUUCUUG
This 62-nucleotide transfer RNA is filed under the name Ergatettix serrifemora. RNAcentral describes it as "tRNA-Asp". The record is from RNAcentral. Lineage: Eukaryota; Metazoa; Arthropoda; Insecta; Orthoptera; Tetrigidae.